GGACUACUGGGGUUUCUAAUCCUGUUCGCUACCCACGCUUUCGCUCCUCAGCGUCAGUUCCGGCCCAGAGUGCCGCCUUCGCUACGGGUGUUCCUCCCGAUCUCUGCGCAUUUCACCGCUACACCGGGAAUUCCACACUCCUCUACCGGACUCUAGUCACCGCAGUACCGAAUGCACCCUCCACGUUAAGCGUGGAGAUUUCACAUCCGGCUUACGGAACCGCCUACGAGCUCUUUACGCCCAAUAAAUCCGGACAACGCUCGCCCCCUACGUAUUACCGCGGCUGCUGGCAC
Molecule: ribosomal RNA, 293 nt
Filed under: uncultured bacterium
Lineage: Bacteria
Description: partial 16S ribosomal RNA
Source: RNAcentral